CAGUCCAGGCAUAACUAAAUGUUGCCAUACUGUCCAAGUAUACUCUAUAAUCCUCAUGUGUAGUUUGUGCAUAGACAGAAAUGUGUCCUCUGAAUGUUUUCCCUGAUCCAUUAGGUUACAAUAUUUUGUUCUGUACUCUAUUACUUUUCCUGAUGCCAGCUCAAUGCUUGUACGUGCCUUGACGGUUAGCUCUUAUGUUCCUGUGCCGAUUGUUGUGGGUUACACAUUCGGGCGUUUCAUGUAAUAUAGUCCAUGUAAAUAUUAAGAAGGCUUCUACUCUUGUCAUAGGGAGAGCCUUCGGAGAAAGGAGAAAAGGGCGAUCCAGGUGCAUCAGGGGACCCUGGCCCUUCUGGACCCAUUGGAAGUCCAGGACCACAGGGCUUAACGGGAGAACAUGGAGUACCUGGAAGACCAGGGAUUAAAGGAGAAAAGGUAUGUUUUGGUGAUACAGAAUAAUAAUCAUUCUCAAAUUAGGUGAAAGAUUCCUAGGACUAACCUUUUGAGUGUAGCUGUCCAGGCUUUGUUAUGAGCAACAUCAUCCAGUAUAAAUUAUUGCUGCCUUCUCGUUACUGAACAGAAUAGGGAUUCACAGUUGAGACCAAUUUUCCUGUUACUGCAGACUCAUAUCUGUAUAUCUAUUGAACAGAUGCAAACAAAACAGAAACAUAUCCCAUUGUUUACUUCUGAGAUCAUUUACCAGUCUGCCCCAGAGCAGUGUAUGUCAUUAAAAUAGGAAACAAUACAAUAGAAAAAUAAUAAAUAUAAUGAAAUAAUUCAAUAUCUG
RNAcentral lists this long non-coding RNA (784 nucleotides) under Podarcis muralis (Common wall lizard). RNAcentral describes it as "lncRNA (ENSPMRG00000006117.1)". Lineage: Eukaryota; Metazoa; Chordata; Lepidosauria; Squamata; Lacertidae. The record is from RNAcentral.